Molecule: ribosomal RNA, 410 nt
Filed under: Stutzerimonas stutzeri
Lineage: Bacteria; Pseudomonadati; Pseudomonadota; Gammaproteobacteria; Pseudomonadales; Pseudomonadaceae
Description: bacterial SSU rRNA
Rfam family: Bacterial small subunit ribosomal RNA
Source: RNAcentral
AUUGAACGCUGGCGGUAGGCCUAACACAUGCAAGUCGAGCGGCAGCGGGUCCUUCGGGAUGCCGGCGAGCGGCGGACGGGUGAGUAAUGCCUAGGAAUCUGCCUGGUAGUGGGGGAUAACUCGGGGAAACUCGAGCUAAUACCGCAUACGUCCUACGGGAGAAAGCGGGGGAUCUUCGGACCUCGCGCUACCAGAUGAGCCUAGGUCGGAUUAGCUAGUUGGUGAGGUAAAGGCUCACCAAGGCGACGAUCCGUAGCUGGUCUGAGAGGAUGAUCAGCCACACUGGAACUGAGACACGGUCCAGACUCCUACGGGAGGCAGCAGUGGGGAAUAUUGGACAAUGGGCGAAAGCCUGAUCCAGCCAUGCCGCGUGUGUGAAGAAAGGUUCUUUCGGAUUGUAAAGCACUUUA